This is a small nuclear RNA of Cercocebus atys (sooty mangabey), 107 nucleotides long. NCBI's taxonomy places the organism in Eukaryota, Metazoa, Chordata, Mammalia, Primates, Cercopithecidae. The record is from Ensembl.
AUGCUGACUUUGGCAGCACAUAGACUACAACUGGAAUGAUACAGAGAAGACUGGGAUGAUCCCUGUGCAAGGAUGACACACAAAUUCAUGAAGUGUUUUUUUUAAUA